AUGGCGAAGGUGCAGGUAAGGGCGAGGUUCGUGACGGAGGUGGCGCCGCCGCAGCUCGUGUCGGUCGUGCGGCGGAGGAAGGUGCCGAGGAGCCUCGACACGAUCGUCGAGGACGACAGGGAGCUGCAGCAGCUGGCCUACGGCGACCACCAUCAUCAUCAUCAGGCUACUGCCUCCGCGGCGUCGAUGAAGAGGGCGUUGCCGGCCGGCGCGCGCACUGGCGGUGCCGGGUUCAUGAGGGAGCUCAGCAGCUGCUUCUCCGGCAACGGCGACCACGGCCAGGCGGCCGGUGGCUGCUGGGAGAGCACGCGCAGUAAAGGGCACGGCCGACGAGCCGUGUUUGCUCACCGGACGCAUGCAAAUUAA
This 366-nucleotide ribosomal RNA is filed under the name Triticum aestivum (bread wheat). RNAcentral's name for it is "partial small subunit ribosomal RNA". Lineage: Eukaryota; Viridiplantae; Streptophyta; Magnoliopsida; Poales; Poaceae. The record is from RNAcentral.